GCCGGUAAGGGUGAAAGGGUGCGGUAAGAGCGCACCGCGUGGGUGGCAACAUUCCACGGCACGGUAAACCCCACUCGGAGCAAGACCAAAUAGGGACCCAUCAGGCGUGGCCCGCGCUGGGUCCGGGUAGGUUGCUAAAGAUGUCCGGUGACGGCCAUCGUAGAUGAAUGACUGUUCAACGACAGAACCCGGCUUACAGGCGAACUCCUCCU
This 212-nucleotide RNase P RNA is filed under the name Oceanospirillaceae bacterium. RNAcentral describes it as "partial RNase P RNA component class A". It matches the Rfam family "Bacterial RNase P class A", at positions 144 to 367 of the family's 367-position model. Rfam says of the family: Ribonuclease P (RNase P) is a ubiquitous endoribonuclease, found in archaea, bacteria and eukarya as well as chloroplasts and mitochondria. Its best characterised activity is the generation of mature 5'-ends of tRNAs by cleaving the 5'-leader elements of precursor-tRNAs. The record is from RNAcentral. Lineage: Bacteria; Pseudomonadati; Pseudomonadota; Gammaproteobacteria; Oceanospirillales; Oceanospirillaceae.